CAUAGGUUAAUGAGGCGAACCGGGGGAACUGAAACAUCUAAGUACCCCGAGGAAAAGAAAUCAACCGAGAUUCCCCCAGUAGCGGCGAGCGAACGGGGAGCAGCCCAGAGCCUGAAUCAGUGUGUGUGUUAGUGGAAGCGUCUGGAAAGGCGCGCGAUACAGGGUGACAGCCCCGUACACAAAAAUGCACAUGCUGUGAGCUCGAUGAGUAGGGCGGGACACGUGGUAUCCUGUCUGAAUAUGGGGGGACCAUCCUCCAAGGCUAAAUACUCCUGACUGACCGAUAGUGAACCAGUACCGUGAGGGAAAGGCGAAAAGAACCCCGGCGAGGGGAGUGAAAAAGAACCUGAAACCGUGUACGUACAAGCAGUGGGAGCCUCUUUAUGGGGUGACUGCGUACCUUUUGUAUAAUGGGUCAGCGACUUAUAUUCUGUAGCAAGGUUAACCGAAUAGGGGAGCCGAAGGGAAACCGAGUCUUAACUGGGCGUUAAGUUGCAGGGUAUAGACCCGAAACCCGGUGAUCUAGCCAUGGGCAGGUUGAAGGUUGGGUAACACUAACUGGAGGACCGAACCGACUAAUGUUGAA
This 586-nucleotide ribosomal RNA is filed under the name Escherichia coli. RNAcentral's name for it is "partial 23S ribosomal RNA". It matches the Rfam family "Bacterial large subunit ribosomal RNA", at positions 165 to 793 of the family's 2925-position model. Lineage: Bacteria; Pseudomonadati; Pseudomonadota; Gammaproteobacteria; Enterobacterales; Enterobacteriaceae. The record is from RNAcentral.